AAAGGGAGCAAUCCUAAGUAAAGUGGCGCACGGGUGAGUAACACGUGGAUCAUCUACCUUUUAGUGGGGAAUACCACUGGGAAACCGGAGACAAUACCGCAUAAGCCCGCAAGGGGAAAGCAGCAAUGCGCUGAAAGAGGAGUCCGCGGCCGAUUAGCUAGUUGGCGGGGUAACGGCCCACCAAGGCGAAGAUCGGUAGCCGGCCUGAGAGGGCACACGGCCACACUGGCACUGAAACACGGGCCAGACUCCUACGGGAGGCAGCAGUGGGGAAUCUUGCACAAUGGGCGAAAGCCUGAUGCAGCGACGCCGCGUGAGCGAUGAAGCCCUUCGGGGUGUAAAGCUCUUUCGACGGGAACGAUAAUGACGGUACCCGGAGAAGAAGCUGCGGCUAACUACGUGCCAGCAGCCGCGGUAAUACGUAGGCAGCGAGCGUUGUUCGGAAUUACUGGGCGUAAAGAGUGUGUAGGCGGUGUUCCCAGUCUGUUGUGAAAUCUCCCGGCUUAACUGGGAGGGUGCAGCGGAAACUAGAAUGCUAGAGGGUGGGAGAGGUAAGCGGAAUUCCUGGUGUAGCGGUGAAAUGCGUAGAUAUCAGGAGGAACACCUGUGGUGUAGACAGCUUACUGGACCACUUCUGACGCUGAGACACGAAAGCGUGGGUAGCAAACAGGAUUAGAUACCCUGGUAGUCCACGCCCUAAACGAUGCAUACUUGGUGUGAGCGAUUCAUUUCGUUCGUGCCGGAGCUAACGCGUUAAGUAUGCCGCCUGGGGAGUACGGUCGCAAGGCUGAAACUCAGAGGAAUUGACGGGGGCCCGCACAAGCGGUGGAGCAUGUGG
Molecule: ribosomal RNA, 838 nt
Filed under: uncultured Bacillota bacterium
Lineage: Bacteria; Bacillati; Bacillota
Description: bacterial SSU rRNA
Rfam family: Bacterial small subunit ribosomal RNA
Source: RNAcentral